This 72-nucleotide transfer RNA is filed under the name Ovis aries (sheep). It matches the Rfam family "tRNA". Rfam says of the family: Transfer RNA (tRNA) molecules are approximately 80 nucleotides in length. Lineage: Eukaryota; Metazoa; Chordata; Mammalia; Artiodactyla; Bovidae. The record is from Rfam by way of RNAcentral.
UUCCUGGUGGCUCAGAUGGUAAAGAAUCUGCCUGCAAUGCAGAAGACCCAGGUUCAAUCCCUGGGUUGGGAA